GAGUGAACGCUGGCGGUAGGCCUAACACAUGCAAGUCGAACGGCAGCACAGUAAGAGCUUGCUCUUACGGGUGGCGAGUGGCGGACGGGUGCGGAAUAAAUCGGAAUCUACUUUUUCGUGGGGGAUAACGUAGGGAAACUUACGCUAAUACCGCAUACGACCUACGGGUGAAAGCAGGGGAUCUUCGGACCUUGCGCGAUUGAAUGAGCCGAUGUCGGCUUAGCUAGUUGGCGGGGUAAAGGCCCACCAAGGCGACGAUCCGUAGCUGGUCUGAGAGGAUGGUCAGCCACACUGGAACUGAAACACGGUCCAGACUCCUACGGGAGGCAGCAGGGGGGAAUAUUGGACAAUGGGCGCAAGCCUGAUCCAGCCAUACCGCGUGGGUGGAGAAGGCCUUCGGGUUGUAAAGCCCUUUUGUUGGGAAAGAAAAGCAGCAGGUUAAUACCCCGCUGUUCUGACGGUACCCAAAGAAUAAGCACCGGCUAACUUCGUG
This 493-nucleotide ribosomal RNA is filed under the name uncultured bacterium. RNAcentral's name for it is "partial 16S ribosomal RNA". It matches the Rfam family "Bacterial small subunit ribosomal RNA", at positions 27 to 507 of the family's 1533-position model. The record is from RNAcentral.